Unclassified non-coding RNA from Saimiri boliviensis boliviensis (Bolivian squirrel monkey), 210 nucleotides. The record is from Ensembl. NCBI's taxonomy places the organism in Eukaryota, Metazoa, Chordata, Mammalia, Primates, Cebidae.
GCCGCGUGCCUCCCAUCCGUGGUCGGUGGUUAAUGCAGGAGGGAAUUAGAACAAGAUCCUAACAAACUUGCAGCCAGCCCACUGAGUCGUUAAAAAACACCCGCAAGGAUGUUAAAAAACACACGCCAACCCUAACGCUCCAGAGAGUUCCGAAACACACAGUAUAUUUCGAACUAAGGGUUACAGUCCUUCAAAUGUGGAAAUUCCAAG